RNAcentral lists this long non-coding RNA (208 nucleotides) under Homo sapiens (human). Its description in RNAcentral is "HSALNT0220477". The record is from RNAcentral. Lineage: Eukaryota; Metazoa; Chordata; Mammalia; Primates; Hominidae.
CACACGGCCUGGACACGCUGCCGAGGAGCCUCUGCUUUUAACCCUCCAGGCUUUCCAGGUUUAGAAUUCCUGCUAGUCAAGCUUCUUUCUGGGAAAAGACCUACAAGAGUUUAUACUUAAUAAGGAUCAAUUGUGAUAUGCUGGAAGACUGGGAAUGAAAGGCAAGAAGCUCCAGAAAGAAUCUGGAGAAAUUUACAGAAGAAAGAGA